This 676-nucleotide unclassified non-coding RNA is filed under the name Hevea brasiliensis (rubber tree). The record is from RNAcentral. Lineage: Eukaryota; Viridiplantae; Streptophyta; Magnoliopsida; Malpighiales; Euphorbiaceae.
GAGUAUGAACCCCCAAAUCUAAAGCCCUAAAAACCAAAAACGAGAUAUAACUAAUCGAAUUACUUUACUCAACCCUACUGGGUUUUGUCUGAUCAAUCAUCGGUGUCUUCUUCACUGAGUUGCAAUGGGAGCGAGUCGAAAGUUACAAGGUGAAAUAGAUCGAGUUCUGAAGAAAGUUCAGGAAGGCGUUGAUGUCUUCGAUAGCAUAUGGAACAAGGUUUAUGAUACGGAUAAUGCUAACCAGAAGGAAAAAUUUGAAGCGGAUUUGAAAAAGGAGAUUAAAAAGCUUCAGAGGUAUAGAGACCAAAUCAAAACAUGGAUUCAAUCCAGUGAAAUCAAAGAUAAAAAGGUAAGUGCAUCAUAUGAGCAAGCAUUGAUGGAUGCUCGUAAGCUUAUUGAGCGUGAAAUGGAACGAUUCAAAAUAUGUGAGAAAGAAACUAAGACCAAAGCAUUUUCAAAAGAAGGCUUGGGCCAACAGCCAAAGACGGACCCAAAGGAGAAGGCUAAGUCAGAGACAAGAGAUUGGUUGAAUAAUGUGGUUGGGGAGCUUGAAAGUCAAAUUGACAAUUUCGAGGCUGAACUGGAAGGACUCUCAGUUAAAAAAGGGAAGCAGAGGCCCCCAAGAUUGGUACAUUUGGAAACAUCUAUUGCUCGGCACAAGGCUCAUAUAAUGAAG